GACGGAGGGUGCGAGCGUUAUUCGGAUUUAUUGGGCGUAAAGAGUGUGUAGGCGGUCGAUCAAGUCUGAUGUGAAAGCCCGGGGCUUAACCUCGGAAGGGCGUUGGAAACUGGUCGACUUGAGUUCGGGAGAGGAAAGCGGAAUUCCGGGUGUAGAGGUGAAAUUCGUAGAUAUCCGGAGGAACACCGGUGGCGAAGGCGGCUUUCUGGACCGAAACUGACGCUGAGACACGAAAGCGUGGGGAGCAAACAGG
Molecule: ribosomal RNA, 253 nt
Filed under: uncultured bacterium
Lineage: Bacteria
Description: partial 16S ribosomal RNA
Rfam family: Bacterial small subunit ribosomal RNA
Source: RNAcentral